GACGAACGCUGGCGGCGUGCUUAACACAUGCAAGUCGAACGGAAAGGCCCUGCUUUUGUGGGGUGCUCGAGUGGCGAACGGGUGAGUAACACGUGAGUAACCUGCCCUUGACUUUGGGAUAACUUCAGGAAACUGGGGCUAAUACCGGAUAGGAGCUCCUGCUGCAUGGUGGGGGUUGGAAAGUUUCGGCGGUUGGGGAUGGACUCGCGGCUUAUCAGCUUGUUGGUGGGGUAGUGGCUUACCAAGGCUUUGACGGGUAGCCGGCCUGAGAGGGUGACCGGCCACAUUGGGACUGAGAUACGGCCCAGACUCCUACGGGAGGCAGCAGUGGGGAAUAUUGCACAAUGGGCGGAAGCCUGAUGCAGCAACGCCGCGUGCGGGAUGACGGCCUUCGGAUUGUAAACCGCUUUCGCCUGUGACGAAGCGUGAGUGACGGUAAUGGGGAAAGAAGCACCGGCUAACUACGU
This 467-nucleotide ribosomal RNA is filed under the name uncultured bacterium. Its description in RNAcentral is "partial 16S ribosomal RNA". It matches the Rfam family "Bacterial small subunit ribosomal RNA", at positions 28 to 506 of the family's 1533-position model. The record is from RNAcentral.